This is a non-coding RNA of Oryza glumipatula, 204 nucleotides long. NCBI's taxonomy places the organism in Eukaryota, Viridiplantae, Streptophyta, Magnoliopsida, Poales, Poaceae. The record is from Rfam.
UAUAAGUGUGGCCAUGAGUUUCCGUGCUCAAUUUUGACUGCCCGUCUUAUUUAAAAAAAAUUUAGAUUAGUAUUUUUAUCAUUAUUAGAUGACAAAACAUGAAUAGUAAUUUAUGCGUGACUUAUGUUUUUAAUUUUUUUAAAAAAAAUUUCAAAUAAGAUAGACGAUCAAAGUUGGGCACAGAAAAUCAUGGCUGCACUUAAA